This 866-nucleotide long non-coding RNA is filed under the name Trifolium pratense (red clover). Its description in RNAcentral is "long non-coding RNA (TPRA_LNC012651)". The record is from RNAcentral. Lineage: Eukaryota; Viridiplantae; Streptophyta; Magnoliopsida; Fabales; Fabaceae.
AUACCAUAUAAAUCAAACUAAUUCAGUAAAUCGUAUAAUCUAUUAUUCCGGCAUAUAAAAAUGACAUACCAUCAGCAGAGUAGGACCCUGUACUGUCACUCCAUAGAACCAUAUUGAUAAACCAAGAGGACACAUAGUGACUGAACUUUCAGCUUUUUGCAUUGAUCUAGUGCCAGAAAUUUAACUUCAGCAUGUUCUCCAUGAUAUGCAAGCUCAUUUUUACUUGAUUUCAAUGUCUUAAUUUUGCAUUAUGAAUUGCAUUUCAUCAAGGCACAUGCCAUCCCAAGAAUUACAUUUUGAAUAGAUAUUGAACUUGAGGGUCAUGGAGGUUACACUUUACCAUCUCAUUUAUACUUCGUGAAUAAAGAAUUCACAUUGCAAUCCAGGGCCAUCAAUGGCUCAAACAUACCAUCUAAAUCCAGGGUCAUCAAAGUAACUUAUAUCCAUCACAUAAUUUAUAUAGCCAAUAGAAAUUGGACUUAAUCGAAGCAACAUUUAUCCACAUAUUGAGGCAAGGGUCAUCAAGGCAACAUAUAACCAUCUAAGAAUUUAUAUAGUCCAAUAAAAAAUGGACUUAAGGGUCAUCGAAGAAAAACACAAGCAUUUUUGCGCAACUUAAUUCACUUGCACAUAGUUAUAGCUCUAUAUACCAAAAUAAAACUUAAUUUUGUAUAUAGAUUAAAUUAUAUCACAUUAUUUAUGAUGAUGAACCCCAACUUUUCAGUUGCACAGUACUUUCUUUAGCCGCAAUUAUUUCUAGAGAUCAAAAUUUACAAAUUUCAGGACUUUCCUAAAGAAUUGUUUUUUGCUUUUGGAGUUAACCAUUUUACCCUGCAAAGAAUCAUAUCUCUUUGCUUUCACCGUAU